GAUGAAGAACGCAGCGAAAUGCGAUAAGUAGUGUGAAUUGCAGAAUUCAGUGAAUCAUCGAAUCUUUGAACGCACAUUGCGCCCCUUGGUAUUCCAUGGGGCAUGCUUGUUCGAGCGUCAUUUGUACUCUCAAGCUUUGCUUGGUGUUGGGUGUUUGUCCUUGCCUUUGUGCUUGGACUCGCCUUAAAUUCAUUGGCAGCCAAUGUAUUGGUUUGAAGCGCAGCACAAUUUGCGGUUCUCGCUGAUCAUCAUUAGCGUCCAUAAAGCACAAUUAACACUUUUGACCUCGGAUCAAGUAGGGAUACCCGCUGAACUUAAGCAUAUCAAUAAGCGGAGGA
This 338-nucleotide unclassified non-coding RNA is filed under the name soil metagenome. RNAcentral's name for it is "partial contains 5.8S ribosomal RNA, internal transcribed spacer 2, and large subunit ribosomal RNA". The stretch from base 1 to 120 matches the Rfam family "5.8S ribosomal RNA", at positions 35 to 154 of the family's 154-position model. The record is from RNAcentral.